AGUGAACGCUGGCGGCAGGCCUAAUACAUGCAAGUCGAACGGCAGCACAGUGGAGCUUGCUCCAUGGGUGGCGAGUGGCGGACGGGUGAGGAAUACAUGGGAAUCUGCCCAGUCGUGGGGAUAACGUAUGGAAACGUACGCUAAUACCGCAUGCGCCCUUCGGGGGAAAGUCGGGGACCGCAAGGCCUGACGCGAUUGGAUGAGCCCAUGUUCGAUUAGCUAGUUGGCGGGUAACGGCCCACCAAGGCGACGAUCGGAUAGCUGGUCUGAGAGGAUGAUCAGCCACACUGGAACUGAGACACGGUCCAGACUCCUACGGGAGGCAGCAGUAGGGAAUAUUGGACAAUGGGCGCAAGCCUGAUCCAGCCAUGCCGCGUGAGUGAAGAAGGCCCUCGGGUUGUAAAGCUCUUUGUUGGGAAGAAAAGCAGUUGGUUAAUACCGAUUGUUCUGACGGUACCCAAAGAAUAAGCACCGGCUAACUUCGUGCCAGCAGCCG
RNAcentral lists this ribosomal RNA (496 nucleotides) under uncultured bacterium. Its description in RNAcentral is "bacterial SSU rRNA". It matches the Rfam family "Bacterial small subunit ribosomal RNA", at positions 29 to 517 of the family's 1533-position model. The record is from RNAcentral.